This is a long non-coding RNA of Dromaius novaehollandiae (emu), 6597 nucleotides long. RefSeq lists it as uncharacterized. The record is from RefSeq and is a predicted model, not a curated record. NCBI's taxonomy places the organism in Eukaryota, Metazoa, Chordata, Aves, Casuariiformes, Dromaiidae. The transcript is spliced from 2 exons.
AACUGUCAUAUCUGUAGGCAGAAGGAUUUAAAUCAUCAGUUUAUGGUAUGAUUUUACCAGGUAAUAAAGAUCUAGCAGUUUCUCUAUACUAACUACUGAGAGGCCUCUGAAAAGACUAUUUCAUGCAGAAUCCACACCCCUUCUGCAAAAAAAUCUGCUAACAAAUGCUGGGGGAAUUUACCAUUCAGUUUGUCUGACCUUGCCAGCUUGCAAAUAUUCUAGCUGCACAGCCAAGAAUGAACUCAACCUACUGACAUCUCAAUGUCUGAAAUACCCAUAAAGCAAUUGUUUAAAUCCAGCAUUACAGUAAGAUAUUAUUACUUCCUUUUCCAACAACAACUUACAAAGUACUAUGAAUAACUGAAGCUAACGACUUAUAAAUCUGUAAAUGGUCUGCAUUUGAAAUACUGCUGCUUUUCCUCUCCUUCAUUACCCUACUUACAUUCAGAGUUGUGCUCUGCCCCUACGGAGGAGGAGGGACAGCUGGCAGAUUUAUUUUGAUAUGAACUUUGGAAUUGCUCCUAUCCAUCCAAGACAGCCGUAAUUUAGCAAUCUUUAGCACCCAAGAGGCGGCUUGUAUUUUUUCCUAAGCUGUAUAGGACUGCAAGGGUUUGGCAGAGAAUUGGCUAGAGAGUACUUCUGAGUAAUGUUGUUAGAAUGAGCUGAGAAACACAGAACAUGAGAGACAUUCCAUUCUACAUGGUGACUUUCAGACAUAUAAAUAAUAAACUAAAGAAAAAAAUAACAGUGGUUGACUUCCCUGAGUCUAUUCUAGUCUGCAAACCCUUAGUUUAGAAAUAAAGAAACCCAGUCCCUUGAAAACCCCUGGAGGAAAUCUUGCUUAGCUUGUGCUUACUGUCAGUUCUUCCCUGUCUCAGAAACUUUUUUUCUCAGGAAGUUAAUUCUUGAACAAAAGCGAGGUAGGGAAAGAAGGUUCUGCUCAUUCCUGUUUCUCAAAGUCUUUUUGAAUGACCUUGUUCUUAGGCUCUUAAAACCUUCUUGUGCUCAGGUAGACUAUUUUAUUGUGCCUCAGCAACAAGUAUAAACCGGCUUGUUGGCAGGUUCGUUGCGGCCAAGCCUUUCCUCCUAAAGUGCUCUGUCAUUUGUUUGCAAUGUGCUUGCAGGCAGGGAAGAACAGCUGAAAGGUGCAAUUUGUUUUUGCUUUUGUAAUUGCGAACUUUAAAUCCAAAACUCCUCUCCAACAUGGGGUCCAACUGAAACUGAUGGAAACAAGCCUGUUGACCUCAGCGGGUUUUGAAUCAAGCCAGAGAAUCUGAAUCCACAUUUCUUAUAUUUACUUUGUAACAUUGAAUAGGAAUGGCUACUAAUUCAGUGGGUUAUUGCUCCCUGUGAAUGAGGUUUACAGAAUCAGAACUCAGAGAGAUGCAAAGACUGAGCAAGCUACACAGAUGUGGUCAGAAGUAAAGAAGUCGUUUAGUUCCAGGUUCUGUUCUUACACCAAGUGCUCAUAGGAAUGAACUGUUUAUCUGGACAUAAAAGAAUAAUGCAUAGUUGCAAAGGAGUUUGAAUAGUGCAGCUGGCAUGCAAAGUUACUUGUUUUCAAAUUACAGUAUACAAGUGCCUAAAGCACAGAUGCAGAGGUGGCAAAUCCACACCCAAGCUAUUCUGAUGGCAACAAAGCAAGACUUUGCGCACAGCCUGCAGAUGUAAUACCAAUGUUUUAACAGGCUUUCAUGUAAAUCUUUCAUCUUAAUCCAUAGUAAAACCCAUGACCAGGAAUACAGAAUUUCUCAGAGAACAUUUAAUAUUUCAGUUAUCAAUUUAAAUAAAAAUCUCUCAUUCUCUCUUUGAGAUGACGUUACUUCAGAGAACAAACUUAAAAUUAAAUGUCUAGUCUGGAAACGUGCACUUCUGUCUGGGACUGAUACAGAGUAUAUUGUUCAUGGGUGCACCCACUCUUCGUCUGGUGGCAUCUGAAGAAUAGUAGGGUAGGACAGAGACAUUUUUGGUAAAUUAGUGAACCUUUCCCUUGAAGACGAACACAUGCAUAAGUACAAGACAUUUGGAAUAAUCUUAUGCAUUACAACAGCAAAAAUGUUAAUCACCACAGAUACUUCUGCACUGUGGGGAUGACUAAACACAGUAAAUGCCAUCUGCAGCAUGGAAAACAGCCUCGCAGUAACGCGAAAUGGGGGGAGGAGAUGAACAAAGUGCUUCCCAGUGCCAAAUGCAUGACCUCACUGAUGUGGCCUUAGCACCGGGGAUCCAAGCUCGCAGGAGGAGCAAAAGCGCACAGAGCCAGGCAUGAAGUAUGCGGGGAGUGGCGGCCAGCACGGCCACUGCCUGGAAAACAAGCACACAGCAGCUCUGCUCAAGUCUUGGAAGAGGAGACCCUCUCCUACACUCCAUCCCUAUAGUCUUUUAAAACAACCAGAAUGAAUCGUUCAUCUCAUCGACACAAGAUGUAAACAAGUAACUUAAAUACAGAAGGUACACUUUACAUCUCAGUACAGCUUUGCAAUCUUUUUUUAAGAGGAAGCCACCAGUUCACCCAGGCCUGGUGAAAAUCAUGUUCAGUGUAGUGCCAUCUAUUGGUAAAAAACAAAAAUGCAGCUGAAUUCCCUACGUUAUUAAGCUUCCAGAGUAAUUUUUCCCAGGAAAGUUCUUCAAGACAUUUUCUCACUGUGGUGAUUCUCGCAUUAUUUCUAUAUUAAUCUCUGUUUGCUUUAAAUGCAUGCAUCCCAUAUAGAAGAAAAAAAACAAAAAGUCCACUUACUCUAGCAUCUACCACAUCAGACACUGCCUGAAUAUUCCAGGCACUGCAAAGCUAUGUCAAAAAGCUUGCACAAACUCUGGCACAAACAUUUCAGUAUUUUAAGCUUUCCUGGUACAUGUUUGGCACUAUCUGUACUCAUUGUCUGUGAAUUUGCUGCUUACGAAUUGUGCUGCUGUCUCCAUCUCAUGAAACAAACCCUUUAAUUUGCUUGUGCAUAUUUAUAUACAAACAUAUAUAUAGAACCCUACAUAUAUAUACAAUUAUGUGAGUACAGAAUCAUAUUAAUACGAUAUGAAUUAAGUGAAUGGUAUCGUAUAACUAUCGAGUUUCUCCCAUGUGCAAUGACUCCCAGCCAAACCACAUCAUCUCACUGUAUACCUGCCCCGUCAGGUCUACCUGCCCCCUCACAAUACCAGUGAGCAACAGUUGGGAGCUACCGGGAAGAAAUAAUUACAGCAGCAGAUGGUAUCUGUGGUCAGAGCAGCAACGAGCCUGCCUCUGAGGCAGUGCUGUCGUUACCCUGACUGCAAACUCUGUAUUGAGACAUUGCUCCGUAGGAGUGUCAAAACACCUAGAUGCCCUCUAAACCAAGCGUACUCAUCCUGCUUCCCCGUCUGCUCCAUCCCUCUUUCCUACGCGUUCCUCUAGCGCCACGUUAGACACCCUGAGCCGCUUCCUCUCGGGAGGAGACGGCUCACUUGGGGCUGGCAAAGGCACCCCUCAGUGCUGCAGCAGCUCCGCUCCCAGGCUGGCCUCCGGCGACUGCCCCGCAGCUCCGGGGUGACCCACCGAGCAGCCCUCUUCCACUUCUCCCAACCAUUACCCUGCACAACGUUCAACGCAGGAAUCACCUGGGAGCAAGUCUUUUGCAAUGUUUUUAAAAACAGCUCUUCCUUACUGGCAUUGGCAUGUCCCAAUAUUUCUUAGGCGGAGAUCUCGAGGGAAAAGCUGGCCUAAAUGUUUGCAUGUGUUAUGACUUUCAUGUGAGCCAUCACAAAUCUUGCCAAAAGGGCUGUAUCUCUACCUGCCGCUUCCUGUUAUGAUAGUAAGAGCUUCUAUUGCUACUGUCAGAGGAAAAAUAUUUUCUCUACCACCCUCGUACUGAGAAAAGAGCAGAAGACGAAUGUGUAAGGCAGUAGAAACCGGGCUGUCAAGCAAGCUUUUGAGAAGUUUCCGCUGUUGGCAGGGGACAGAGGACUCAAUCCCAUGCUUGCCAAAGUAAAAAUUACAGCUCCUACGGAUUUCUGUGGAAGCAGCACUUGGCCCGAAGCGAUUCCUCCCAUGCACAAGACGAGGGAACAGACCGCAGCAAUCGCCAAGCGUGGGGGGUCGCGCCGGCGUGGGACAGGCACACACAGCUCGUCAGAUCAAAGCCCUCCCUGCCCGAGAAGACCUGGCUGGAGGCACAGCAUACAGAAACAGUGCCAAGAGCGUUCGACACCGGCUACAGCAGAGCGGUUAAUUCGCAAAGCCAGCGACCUAAAACAAACUUAGGUCUUUAUUCUGUUUAUAUUCCUCACUUUGCCAGAGAGGAAAGGCGGAGAUACUAAAAAAUAGUGCCUGAAGAACCAUUUAUUUCCUAACUUUUUGCUUCGAGUUAUCACCUUCCCACUGCUUUAUAUGUCAAUACCUCACUUUACAUGACUAGUUAAUUUUCUGGAACACUGUGGCUGUAUCAUAGCCACAGGUAGCUCUAAAAUGCAUAUGCAAGAGUAUUUUCUUGCUUACAUGUUCCCUGUAAUUUUAUAAAAAUCAUUUAAAGACACACUUUCAAGCUGCCAUUUUUUAAAGAAAAAGGAGAAAGUAUUACUGACAACAGCACACACUACUACAGCUGACGUAAUUAAGAAAAGAAAUUACUAUUCACCCUUUCACAUAAACACGUAACAGCACUAACAACAACACUCGGGUUUCCAAGGUGCCGAAGGAGCCUGUGUGGCAGGUUAAUCCUACCAGGAAGAGAAACGAGCACUCACAGAGCCAAGAUCCUCUGACCUCGUAGGGCAGAGGCACAAUAGGCCAAUUAUCCAAGGCAGUCUUCACUCUUUGUAGCUGGAUUUUUUUUACUCACAUUAAAGCAAGCUUUUAUUUAUUUUUCUUUGUCAUUGUUUUCUAUUUGGAUAAUGUCAAUAAACCAAGUCGGCUUCAUUAUUAUAUUUAAAACAUUAUGCAGAUGUAUAUGAAUCAGAGAGGAAAACUGACUCCAGUGUUUUGGCGGCAUGCACCACGAGACUGUGCACAGUACACAGAUCUAACUGCCUUAACCCACUUAUUUUUCUUUGGCCUUCAUAUUUAUAAAAUUAAGCAUUUCAUGCAAUAGUUCUCUGGAAAAUCAAAGCCUUCCCAUGCCAAAAUGCUUAUAGGUUAUUUUAUUUUUGAUUAACAAAAUGCUGUGUUGGUAAUAAUGCUCGAAUCUAACCUUCUAGGUAGUUGCUAAUCAACCAGACAGAUUUCAUUUACCCUCCCCCAACAUAUAUUUGCUUUUAUCUAAGUCUUCAUAUGCUUCAUUAUUAUUGCUACUGUUGUAAUUUUUUUAUUAUGUAUUGAUUUUAUAAUUAACACACGAGGUUGUCUACAGAAGACAUAUUUGUCUCAGUAUCUAAGCAAUAAAACUAAAGAUGCGUAAAGGCAAAGAUACAUGCCCCAACAAGGAAGCCUGAGGAGCGCGCUGCCUUGGCGUUCCCUUCCAACCGUGACCCAAAUACCAGUGAAACCAAUGAAGUGACUUUCACUGUCUUCAACAGGCUCCAGGUUAGGCUGCAGGAGUCACCCGGUAUGCUGCUCUGGGUGCAAAGGGAUAACUGAAAGUGCCAAGGAAGGCUCACCGUCGGGUGAACAGUGAAAAUUUCAAAGCCCAACACUGAACUCCAGGGAUACGUCUGCAAACCCACUUUAAGGGAUGCAUCAAGUUGCCAGUUCACAAUUAUUCCCAAAUAUUUGGAUUCUGAGAAUAUGCAAAACUGUGUGAAAGAUGCAGGGAGAAAGUGAAAAGGGAAUUAAUCUUCCCUUUGGUUUUCCUCCCAGACUGUACAUUUUCUGAGACAGAGGUACUGUAGAUGUAGAAAGGUGUAGAAAGACACCACUCCUGCCUGUAAUUCUGACACCCACCUUCUAGCACACUUCCAAGCAGCAAGUAGUGCUACUUAAGCAGAUAGCUACAAACAGUAGGUGUCAUUUUGUCCCCAGAGCACCUUACAGGCACCAGACGUCACAGAGUGACGUUAAGCCCCGCCACUUGUGUCAGGGAUACAGCUGGGAACAUGCGAGCUCUCGCCCUACCGAAGCUCCAGCCUGUCUGCUCACGAGAUAAAUCCAUCCUUUUCCACCUCUUCUUUUUAAUUAAAAAAUAGAAAAAUCACAAAAUCUGAUUCAGUCAUUUUCUUUAGUUCACUAUUAUAUCUAUAUUUAUAAAAUUCUUGUGGAACUUCUCGAAGCCCGAGAACUCUCACAGCAAAGGAUGACAGCAGCAGCGUCAUGUCACACACAGAUACCGACCGCCUGAAAGACAAAACCACAAGCAAAGCGAGGUACUACACUACCUCCGUUCAAGGGUCUUAUGCAUUUAAAUUAAAACUGACCACUUGCUCCAAAAAGCAUAACAGCAGCAAUGUGUACAUUCGUUACACUCAAUCCACAAAGGCAAUAAGAUUUUAUCGACAUACAUGAAAUACAUCAUCAUCAUCAUCAUCAUACAUCACUGGAUUCCCACUGUGUGUUGAACACAACUUUCCACUCUAUAACUCAUAAUGUUUUUGGUGUCUAACAGUUUUUUAACUUAAGCUCCCUCUGUACAGUGGCUAAAAGUCACCUCUGGCUUUCUCCAAAGCUGUAACCUCUUAAAUUAAACGAUAUGCAAUGAA